RNAcentral lists this long non-coding RNA (298 nucleotides) under Prunus persica (peach). Its description in RNAcentral is "long non-coding RNA (PPER_LNC005724)". The record is from RNAcentral. Lineage: Eukaryota; Viridiplantae; Streptophyta; Magnoliopsida; Rosales; Rosaceae.
UUAAAACAAGCCCAAUACAAAAAACUCAUUAAAAAAAUCCAAAAUAAGCCCAGCAAGCCCGAAGUACAUUGCUAAUAUCAUGUCAUAGAAGUAAAUUGUUAAUACCAUGUCAUAGAAGUACAUUGUUAAUACCAUUUCAUAAAAUAAAAAAAAAUCAAAAAAAAAAACCCCCAAAAAAGCCCAACAAGACAUCCGAUAUCAUUUGCAGAAACUACAUCCAAUUGUCCACAGUUUCACCAGAAACAAUCGCAAAGACAUAAAGAAAUAUCUCUACAAGAAGAAAAAAAAUUACAUUGUU